CCUAACAACUUAUUCAUUUUCACUAUGAUAGGAACUUUAUCUGUUUCAAUGACUUGGUCAGGAGCUGGCUGGUUUGGGCCUUUUGUACGCAUUGAUCAAUCGAACCCACAAUGUCAGGCAUGUGAGGUGAAGGAUUGAUAAAGGGCUCCUCCACAUGCAAUAAUACAUGCCGCUCAACAGGCAGAGGUAUGUCAAAUAGCCUAUAGGU
Molecule: long non-coding RNA, 208 nt
Filed under: Elaeis guineensis (African oil palm)
Lineage: Eukaryota; Viridiplantae; Streptophyta; Magnoliopsida; Arecales; Arecaceae
Description: long non-coding RNA (EGUI_LNC051287)
Source: RNAcentral